RNAcentral lists this long non-coding RNA (6810 nucleotides) under Sus scrofa (pig). Its description in RNAcentral is "lncRNA (ENSSSCG00000063166.1)". Lineage: Eukaryota; Metazoa; Chordata; Mammalia; Artiodactyla; Suidae. The record is from RNAcentral.
UUUUUCUUUUUUUUUUUUGGUUGCACCUGUGGCAUGCAGAAGUUCCCAGGCCAGGGAUCGAACCCGUGCCACAGCAGCAAUCCAUCACAGCAGUGACAAUGCCAGAUCCUUAACCCUCUGAACCAUAAGAAAACUCCAACAACUGGAAUUUGAAAAUAAAACAAUGGGAGUUCCCGUUGUGGCUCAGCAGAAACGAAUCUGACUAGUAGUAUCCAUGAAGAUCCAGGUUCGAUCCCUGGCUUCACUCAGUGGGUUAAGGAUCCAGUGCUGCCGUGAGCUAUGGUGUGGGUUGCAGAUGCGGCUUGGAUCUGGUGUUGCCGUGGCCGUGGCAUAGGCCAGCGGCUAAAGCUCUGAUUCAACCCCUAGCCUGGGAACUUCCAUAUGCCGUGAGUGCAGCCCUAAAAGGACCAAAAAAAAAAAAAAAAAAAAAAAAAAAAAAAAAAAAAACUAACAAAAUGUGCACUAGAUCUAAAUGACGAAAACUAUAAAACCAAUGUAAGAAAUGAAAAAUCUCAAUGAAUGGAGAGAGAGUCCAUAUUCAUGGAUAGGAAGAGUCAUAUAUUGUCAACAGUGACAAUUCUUUCCAACUUAAUCUAUAGAUUCCAUACAAUUCCAAUCAAAAUCCCAGCAAGUUAACUUUGUGGAUAUUGACAAACUGAUUCUAAAGUUUAUAUGGAAAGGCAGAAGACCCAGGAUAGCCAACACAAUACUAAAGAACAAACCUGAGGACUGAUACUGACUUCAACACUUAGUACAAAUCUACAGUAGUCAAGACAGUAUAUGACACUGGUGAAGAAAUAAAUAGAACAGAAUAGACACCCCAGAAAUAGACCCAUACACCUACAAUGAACUGAUCUUUGAUGAAAGGAACAACAAGUCAUUGGAGAAAGAUUAGUCUUUUUUGACAAAUGGUGUUGUUACAACUCUACAUCCACAUGCAAAAACAGGAAUCUAGACAUAGAUCUUUACCUACCACAAAAAGUAACUCAAAAGAGAUCACAUACUUAAUGCAAAACACCAAGCUAUGUGACUUCUAGAUAAUAACAUAAGAGAAAAUCUAGAUGACCUUGGGUUUGGAAAUGAGCUUUAAGGUACAUCAAAAGCACAAACCACGAAAGAAAAAAAUUGAUAAAGUAGACACUAUCAAAAUUGAAAACUUCUACUUUGUGAAGACACUUAAGAGAAUAAAAAAGGAAGCCACAUACCAGAAGAAAAUAUUGCAACACACAUAUAUAUUUGGUACCCAAAGGAUACCAAGAACUGGUAUCUGAAACAAUAUAAAGAAUUCUUAAAACUAAACAAUAACAAACACCCAAUAUAAAAAUUGGCAGAAGAUCUUAACAGAUAUCUCACCAAAAAAAGAUAUACAGAUGGUAAAUAAGCAUAUGAAAAGAUGUCCAACAUCGUACAUCUUCAACUGCACAUUAAAACCAUGAGAUCCCAUGCUAUGCAUCUAUUAGAAUGGGCAAAAAAUUUUAAAUCAAUGACACCAAAUGUUGGUGAGGAUUCAGAACAGCAGGAGCUGGUGAGAAUGCAAAAUGCCACAACUUUAGAAGACAGUUUGGCAGUUUCUUACAAAGGUAAACACACUCUUACUGUAAGAUCCAUCUCUGCCCACACAAAAAUCUUGCACACCAAUGUUUACAGCUGCUUUAUCCAUAAUUGCCAAAAACUGGAAGCAACCAAGAUAUUCUUUAAUAAGUGAAUGGAAAACAAACUGUAGUACAGCCAGGCAAUGGAAUAUUAUUAUUCAGUGCUAAAAAGAAAUGAUCUAUCAAGGCACAAAAAUCAUGGAGGAAACAACUGCACACUGUAAGUGAAAGAAGCCAGGCUAGAAAGGCUACAUACUAUGUGAUCCAACUAUAAGACAUCUUGGAAAAGUCAAAACUAUAUAGAGACAGUAAAAAGAUCAGUGGUUGCCAGGAUUUUGGAACAUGUUUGAGGGAGAGGGGGAGGGUGGGGAGCAAUGACUAGUGGAGCACAGGUUUAGGGCAAUAAAACUAUCAUUUGAUACUGUAAUGGUGGAUAUAGGACAUUAUGCAUUUGUCAAAACCUACAGAAAUAUACAACACACAUGGUGAACCCAUGGUUUACAUCUUAUAUUAAUAAAUUAUGGCCUUUAGUUAAAAUAAUGUAUCAAUAUUAGUUUAUUAAUUGUAACAGUCACCACACUAAGGCAAGAUGUUUUUUUGGCCAUGCCCAGAAAGAAUGUGGAAGUUCCUGGGGCCAAGGAUCCAACCCACACCACUGCAGCGACCCAAGCCACAGGAGUAACAACGCCAGAUUCUCAACCUGUUGAGCCACCAGAGACUUCACAGAUAUGGAUAAGAGGGAAAACGUGUGUGUUGGAAGGAGGAGGAUAUUACAUGGAAACUCAAUGCAACUGCUGACAAAAUUUUUCUGUACAUCUAAAACUGUUCUAAAAAAGAAAGCCUCAGUGUUUUAAACGAAUGGGGGAAUCUCAAGAGAGAAUAAAAAAGUUUGUAUUGGUUAUGAAUAAUUUUUCUCAUUCUUACAUUUGAAUAUAUUUUCCAAAUGUUUUUCAGUGGAUCAGUUAUUAUAGAAUCAGACAAAAAUCAAGCCCUCAAUUCUAAAAACCUAUACUGAAAAGCAUGAAUGUUUUGAAAAACUCAAGUUAGUCGUUAUGAGCAAAUAGGCCCAAUUUUUUCCAAUAAAACACCAAAAGGAAGGUACAGAUAUUCGGACCCGUUUUCGAACGCUAGGUAAUCCUAGCAUUACCUGGAGAGGAGUCCUGGCCAGCAGGCCAUGUGCGGGGACGCUGGCUUUCCUCUGUUCCGGACCGCAAAGGAGCCCUACCCCAGCAGCCCAAACUCUGCACAUGCGUGGUGCGUUCCCAUUUCCCUGGGCAAAGCUACACACAGCGCAGGUGCAGCCGCUGCCGGAAAGCAGCCGAGAGAGCUCCCUGCUCAACGUGUUAUCCAUCUGACUGACCUCAGGUUUGAGCAGCCUUCCCUCCAGCCCUAAGAACCUGCCUCUCGUAGCUUUAAAUGAAAGCACACCAUCAGGUGCUGUGCUUGUUUCUGACUCAAAAAGAGUCUCCUGGGUAACAAAAAACACGAUUUGCCCGCUGACCCCUCUACGCAAGAGGGAAAUCACUGAGCUCGGUGUGGUUUGAAAUUCUCUGUAAUACCACGUUCCUAUGCGGACAUCCCAUGAGGGUAAGCCUUGAAGACUUUUGAAUCGAAAUGUCCUAGGUGGGCGGUUCUUAGCCAGGGUUUCACAUCAGAACCACCAGGGGAACUUUUCCCAAGUGUACAAGCCUGCCCCCAGCCUUGACCUAGCACAUCAUAGGCUCCCAGGAAGCUGGGCAUGGGUAUUUUGAGGGUGCUCCCCUGUUAGGUCUGGUGUUUGCUGCUGCUUAGGAAACACUGUAAGGUGGCAUGAUCAUAGUCAAGGCUAUUUGAGGCUCGUCCCACUUCUACUCCUCUUUUGGUUCAGUGGGGAGCUUACCAGUGUGCUGAGGAACCGAGCAGGUUCCAGGAACCAACUCUUGUGCAUUAGGUUCUCGUCAUCUGUGCCUUUGCUGACCGCAUCCUUGAUUCCUAAAGCCAGUCUAGGAGACAAAAAAUGCAAAUGUCUAACAGUAAUUAAUCUUGCUUGGCAGCCCAGCUUGUAGCAACCUCAUCCUGGGGCUCCCAGGCUCCAUGCAGCUCCACCAGGGCUUUCUGCAGACCUCCCUUGAGGAGCGGGCUCCUCAGAUCCAGAAGAACAUGGAGGGAAGGGAACGCAGGGAAAUACGCACUAGGGAGAAGGGAACGCGCCAUUGUCAGAAGGCAAGUGGUGUUACAGAAAUUUGGGUGAAGCUAUUGAUGCCUCUUAAGAGCAGUUACCACAAGAAGACUGUCUGCAUUAGAGACAUCAAUAUCUAAUUGCAGGAGCUGACCUGCUAACCUCAGAGUUAACCCAGUCAUGUGGGUUUUACUAAGAGCUGUAGCCUCUGCUGGGCACUGGAAUGAUGAUGAAAAGGAGAAGCAGAAGAAGAACAGGAAAGACCUGGUUUCCCUGGGCAGAGUAGGGAUGAACUGGGGGGCGCCCCUGCUCUCAGCUCAGAGUGCCGGCCUGAGCUGGGGUUUUCCAGGGAUAGAGGCUGAAAGCAGCACCUUGGUUAUCAACUGGAUCUAGCUGUUUAGUUGACAACUCCCAUCAGAGAUGGGUUUGUCCGGGUCAUAUAAAUGGGGCCAUAUUCUUCAGGCAGACUCUGGGGCCUGACAGACACAUAUUUUGGGGAGCCUACAUAAGGUCUCACCAAGAAGGCAAAAAAACUUCUGUGAAGAUGGCCAUGCUGCCAUUUCUUAAGUGAUACUGGUCAAACUCUAAGUUUUGGAUGAACACAACACCAAACAGAAAUCAUCUCUUCCAUAAAAGCAGCUCAUUAAUCCUAAUAGAAUGGUCUGAGUUCCCAGUGUGGCACAGCAGAAACGAAAUCUGACAAGGAACCAGGAGGUUGCCGGUUCGAUCCCUGGCCUCACUCAUUGGGUUAAGGAUCUGCGUUGCCAUGAGCUGUGGUAUAGGUGGUAGACAUGACUCGGAUCUGGUGUUCCUCAUGGAAUGUCUGUAGAGACUGCAGGGUGAUGGGGUGGAGGCCACCAGCUUCUCUGGGCCUCUGGUCCUGCAGCCACCUGAGAAAAUGUGCUUCAAGAGGGACCAGGGGAGGAGUGCUGUGGGGCAAGGGCCCCGUGAUUGUGUCAUCUCCUGUCAGGGUAGGGAAAAGUUCUCGCUGUUCACUUUGAUCAGCAAAGAUUUUUGAGCCCCACCUACAAGACAGACCCUGCUUUGGGGCCUGGGGACUCAGUGAUGAACAGGCACACAGGUUAAGUCUCUCUGAGGACUCAGGAUUUGGGCUCUUAGACCUCUUGCAGAGUAUUUCCUCCAAGUGAGCUGUCACUGAGAGAUCUGGGGCAGGUUGCAUCCUGUCUGCAUCCAGCAGGGCAGGGUUUGCCCCUUCACAGGAGCAGAUUGAGCACGAGCUGUCCUGUGCAAAACCAGCCUCCAGGCCUCCUUCCCAGCAAGCUCUGUUAGAGGCACCCCAGCCACCUGCCCAGGAUUGGUGAGAGGACGCCUUUAACAACUCCAAAUUAUAACAGGCUAGGACACUCUCCUGCCGCAGACUAUGUAGAGAUCCCUUCUGGGUUUGCUCCUUCCUUUCUUUCUUCUUUUUUCUUUCUCUGUGUUCUUAAAAAAAAACAACUGUCACUGUAAAACAGGGUAUUAUGCAGCUUAUUCUAAAGCAGGAAGGGCCGCAGGUGCUCACGGAUGAUUUCAUGUUUCUGCAAAACCCCUUACACAGCCUCCCUUACACAGGGGAGGAGGGGCUGUCCUGGGAGGCAGCUAAUAGCCACAUGAACCCCUGUCCAGGCACUUAACAUCGGACAACGCAGCAAAACUGGGAGUGGGGAGAUUCCUGCUGAAGUCAUGGCCAAUGUUGCCAAAAUAGCGGCUGCUUCUGUACACUGGCACCGAUGCCAAAUAGAAAUGCGGAGACAGAGUUGGAGGAAACAGAAAAAGUAGCUUUAAUUGCCAGGCGAGGAGGGGAUUACAGCAGGCUAGUAUCUCAAGGACUGUGUGCCCCCGCCACCCCUUUGGAGGGGGUAGGGAGGAGUCUUACAAUGUUGGAGGAACAGGGUGUGAUCAGCUCGGGGACAUUUUCCUGAUUGGCAGGUGGUGAGGUAAUUGGGAGUCAUUCUGGUUUCAACAGGUCUGGGGUCUAUGUGCUUGUGGGCAGCACAUAGUUGACUUCUUGUCGCCUGCAAAAGAGCUCCAAGGACAUGGCUCAGAAUAUUAUCUGUAGUCUGAAGAACUAAAGGUCCUUGACUUUUUGAAUGGCUAAAUUAUUAUUAUUACCAUUUUCAUUUUUCUCUGUAUUUUUCUCACUUCUCUGAUUUUUUUUUUUUUUUUGGUCUUUUGUCUUUUUAGGGCCACACCCACGGCAUAUGGAGGGAUCUAAUCGGAGCUGUAGCUGCCGACCUACGCCACAGCCACAGCAGCACUGAAUCCAAGCAGCGUCUGCAACCUACACCACAGCUCAUGGCAACGCUGGAUCCUUAACCCACUGAGCGAGGUCAGGGAUCAAACCCAAAACCAUAUGGUUCCUAGUCAUAUGUGUUUCCACUGCGCCACAAUGGGAACUCCUCACUUCUCUGAUCAAAUUGGUUCUUUGACUGAGGUUUUUCUAUAGAUAAUAAGGCAAGCAAGCGGAGGACAUGAGCAGGGGUCCACUCUGGGAAGUCACCACAGGAUUCAGCUCAGUUACACCAACAGCUCCCAAAGGCUGCAGACCGGCAUCAAAAUCCCAGCUCUGCACUUGCUCCAUUUCAAACCAGGCCUCAAGGAGACCGAGGUGACAAAGACACUGACUAGAGAGGUGGAAAGGGCCACCUGUAUCCCCAGGCUUCCGUCCCUGACUCAAGUGCCAGGGACUUCAACUCUCCAACAAAGAGCCUCAUUCAGUUCUCAAUCCACAGCUGAGUACUUUACAGCCUGGGUUUUCUCCUCUUGAACAGGAUAUAAGGAUCCAUGUCCAAGGGAUGCAAUGAGAAUUAAAUGCCAUGACACGUUUAAAGUGCUGAAAAGAACAGUAUUGCUGUCUAUCAGCAGGGGCUGGUGGAGCUCUUCCAGAAUGGCUCUUCAAUGCUUUCAAGUUUCGAAAGCAUCCUGACCUUCCAGAACGUGACUUCCUGAGAACAUUUUCACGCAAGGGGCAGGGUCAGUGAGGCAGAAGCCAGCCUCAGUUACAAAGCCUCCCUCCCCAGCCAGAGCUGAGCAGGCGUGGCCUUGUGUAAUCAGCAUAAG